UCCCCGUUAUCCGAGGCAGUCUGUCGUGAAAAACAACACGACAUAGGGGUUGCGCUCGUUACCCCACUUAAGGGUACACCUCACGGCACGAGCUGACGACAACCAUGCAGCACCUGUGCAGCACUCUCGAAGAAGUCUUCCUUUCAGAAGAUGUGCAGCUGCAUGUCAAGCCUUGGUGAGGUUCCUCGCUUACCGUCGAAUUAAACCACAUGUUCCACCGCUUGUGCGGGUCCCCGUCUAUUCCUUUGAGUUUUAGUCUUGCGACCGUACUCCCCAGGCGGGAUGCUUAACGCGUUAGCUUGUUUUGACGACUCUGGGAGGGUCGAUACUCCCAAAAUCCAGCAUCCAUCGUUUAGGGCGUGGACUA
This 367-nucleotide unclassified non-coding RNA is filed under the name uncultured bacterium. RNAcentral's name for it is "contains 16S-23S intergenic spacer region". The record is from RNAcentral.